This 69-nucleotide transfer RNA is filed under the name Loxodonta africana (African savanna elephant). It matches the Rfam family "tRNA". Rfam says of the family: Transfer RNA (tRNA) molecules are approximately 80 nucleotides in length. Their secondary structure includes four short double-helical elements and three loops (D, anti-codon, and T loops). Further hydrogen bonds mediate the characteristic L-shaped molecular structure. tRNAs have two regions of fundamental functional importance: the anti-codon, which is responsible for specific mRNA codon recognition, and the 3' end, to which the tRNAs corresponding amino acid is attached (by aminoacyl-tRNA synthetases). tRNAs cope with the degeneracy of the genetic code in two manners: having more than one tRNA (with a specific anti-codon) for a particular amino acid; and 'wobble' base-pairing, i.e. permitting non-standard base-pairing at the 3rd anti-codon position. Lineage: Eukaryota; Metazoa; Chordata; Mammalia; Proboscidea; Elephantidae. The record is from Rfam by way of RNAcentral.
GCUCUGGUGGCACAGUGGUUAAAGAGCUUGGCUGCUAACCAAAAGGUCGGUGGUUCAAAUCCACCAGCU